RNAcentral lists this transfer RNA (67 nucleotides) under Eggerthella sp. CAG:368. It matches the Rfam family "tRNA". Rfam says of the family: Transfer RNA (tRNA) molecules are approximately 80 nucleotides in length. The record is from Rfam by way of RNAcentral. Lineage: Bacteria; Bacillati; Actinomycetota; Coriobacteriia; Eggerthellales; Eggerthellaceae.
GCCGGUGUAGCUCAGUUGGUUAGGGUUCAUACCCGUGGCGUCACUGGUUCGAAUCCAGUCACCGCUA